RNAcentral lists this unclassified non-coding RNA (416 nucleotides) under soil metagenome. Its description in RNAcentral is "partial contains 5.8S ribosomal RNA, internal transcribed spacer 2, and large subunit ribosomal RNA". The stretch from base 2 to 121 matches the Rfam family "5.8S ribosomal RNA", at positions 35 to 154 of the family's 154-position model. The record is from RNAcentral.
AGAUGAAGAACGUAGUGAAAUGCGAUAAGUAAUGUGAAUUGCAGAAUCCAGUGAAUCAUCGAAUCUUUGAACGCACCUUGCGCCCCUUGGUAUUCCGAGGGGCACGCCUGUUGGAGUGUCAUGAAUACCUCAACCCUUAUAGGUUUUAUCACUUGUACGGUGUUGGUUGUGAGCGUUGCCGGUCGCAAGAUCGGCUCGCUUUAAAAUCAUUAGCUGGAUCCACUUUGACCUGGUUCUACUCGGCGUAAUAAGUUAUUAUCGUUGAGGACACUUUUCUUAGGAAGGGUGGCCACAGUAAAGGUUGUGAACCGCUUCUAAUACGUCUGCUUAGUCUUCGGGCUUUGCAACAUUUUUAUCUCUGACCUCCAAUCAGGUGGGACUACCCGCUGAACUUAAGCAUAUCAAUAAGCGGAGGA